This 67-nucleotide transfer RNA is filed under the name Rattus norvegicus (Norway rat). It matches the Rfam family "tRNA". From Rfam's summary of the family: Transfer RNA (tRNA) molecules are approximately 80 nucleotides in length. Their secondary structure includes four short double-helical elements and three loops (D, anti-codon, and T loops). Lineage: Eukaryota; Metazoa; Chordata; Mammalia; Rodentia; Muridae. The record is from Rfam by way of RNAcentral.
GGAUUUAGUUCAGUGGUAGAGCGCUUGCCUAGGAAGCACAAGGCCCUGGGUUCGGUUCCCAGGUCCA